This 497-nucleotide ribosomal RNA is filed under the name uncultured bacterium. RNAcentral describes it as "partial 16S ribosomal RNA". It matches the Rfam family "Bacterial small subunit ribosomal RNA", at positions 28 to 507 of the family's 1533-position model. The record is from RNAcentral.
GAUGAACGCUGGCGGCGUGCCUAAUACAUGCAAGUCGAGCGAACGGACGAGAAGCUUGCUUUUCUGAUGUUAGCGGCGGACGGGUGAGUAACACGUGGAUAACCUACCUAUAAGACUGGGAUAACUUCGGGAAACCGGAGCUAAUACCGGAUAAUAUUUUGAACCGCAUGGUUCAAAAGUGAAAGACGGUCUUGCUGUCACUUAUAGAUGGAUCCGCGCUGCAUUAGCUAGUUGGUAAGGUAACGGCUUACCAAGGCAACGAUGCAUAGCCGACCUGAGAGGGUGAUCGGCCACACUGGAACUGGAACACGGUCCAGACUCCUACGGGAGGCAGCAGUAGGGAAUCUUCCGCAAAGGGCGAAAGCCUGACGGAGCAACGCCGCGUGAGUGAUGAAGGUCUUCGGAUCGUAAAACUCUGUUAUUAGGGAAGAACAUAUGUGUAAGUAACUGUGCACAUCUUGACGGUACCUAAUCAGAAAGCCACGGCUAACUACGUG